CAAAAACAUUGCUCUAAGAAUUUAAAUUUAGAGUAAGGCCUGCCCAGUGGGGUUAUCCUAAACGGCCGCAGAAUUUUAACUGUGCUAAGGUAGCAUAAUCAUUUGUCUUUUAAUUAAAGACUUGUAUGAACGGCUAAACGAAAUUAAACUGUUUCAAAUAUACUUAAUAUAAAUUAAUUUUAAAGUUAAAAAGCUUUAAUUCACUAAAAAGACAAAAAGACCCUAUAGAGUUUAAUUUUCAUAUUGUAAACUUAUAAUUAUAAAAUUUGGUUGGGGCAACCAAGAAACUACUAUUUUUCUACACUUAAAACUUAUAAAAUAUCAUUUUUUUUAAUAACUCAAAAUAAAUUACCUUAGGGAUAACAGCAUAAAUUUCUUUGAGAGUCCAAAUCGAAAAGAAAAAUUAUGACCUCGAUGUUGGAUUAGAAAACCUUAAAAUAGAAAAAAAUUUUAUAAAGGCAGUCNUCGUUCGACUAUUAAUAUUCUACAUGAUCUGAGUUCAAAUCGG
RNAcentral lists this ribosomal RNA (508 nucleotides) under Anamenia gorgonophila. RNAcentral's name for it is "partial large subunit ribosomal RNA". It matches the Rfam family "Bacterial large subunit ribosomal RNA", at positions 1808 to 2619 of the family's 2925-position model. Lineage: Eukaryota; Metazoa; Mollusca; Solenogastres; Strophomeniidae. The record is from RNAcentral.